CUUGUACAUUUUUAUAUUGUUGUUAUCUUUAUAUGCAUACAAUCAUUAUGCUUUCUUACUUUUCCUUUUAAUAUUUGCUCUUCUGUAUUUUUCAUGACAGACUUCAUAGCUAUUACAUGGCCACAUGACGUUUCACUGAAGGGAUGCACCAAAAAUGACUGAGCCAAGCUCCUGAUGAUAAGAAUCUAAUUUAUUUACACUUUUCAAAACGAAUAAUGCUAUACUCAAUGUUCCUAUCCCUGCUUUUCUAUAUUUUGGAUUAUUUCUAUGAGUUAGGCUGUAGAAAUGGAAUUACUGGAUCAAAGGAAACCUAUAUUUUUUAUGGUUCUUAACACAUGAACCAGAAUUCACCUCUCAAACUUCACCCUAAUUUUCCCUGGCACCUUCAAUAUAUGAAUGUUAUUCUAUGGCACCUUUGCUAGCUCUGGAUAUUAUAACUUUAAAGUUGCUACCUAACUAGUUAAAGAACUUGUUUCAUUUUGAUUAAAGUUAAAUCUCUUUUUGAGCUAAGAAAUUUCUGUAGUAGCUUUGCAUGUGAGUGUAUGGUUGUGUAUAAACCAUUAUAUUCUUUCACAAAAGUAGCAACAUGGAUGCAUUUCUAUCUAAAAUUCUAGUCAGAACAAUGGUGAAUUUAGUGUAUAUUUUUGGAGGUUUUAUGGCAUAUUCUGACAUUUUAAGUGAACUUAUUCAGAUGUUAUUGAACACUUAGUAUAUGCCAGCCUUCACUGCAUUCACUGGAAUACAAAGGGUAAUAGACAAGGGGGAAGGGCAUUAUAAGAAACAGCAUUUGCAAAGGAAGGUGUAUGCGACACCCCCAAAAAAUGUUUUCAUAGAACUAUGGUUCCCCAUUAUUUUGGAGAUAAAAGGUAUUGUAUCAAUUAUCUACUUCUAUGUAACAAACUACUCUGAAACAUGGCUUUAAACAAUGUUUAAAAUUCUUCAUGAUUUUGAGGGUUGGCUGGGUGCACUCAUAUAGCUGCAUUCCUUACUCUGGAAGUUUGGCUUAGGCUAGGCUCAGCUGGAACAUCCAGGAUGGCUAAGCAUCUCUAAGAAGUCAUUUAUUUAUGAACCCGACUAAUAUCAAUGAGGAUGCAGGUUAGAUCCCUGGCCUUGCUCAGUGGGUUAAGGAUCCAAUAUUGCCACCAGCUAUAGUGUAGGUCGCAGACACCGCUCAGAUCCUGUAUUGCUGUGGCUGUGGUGUAGGCCAGCAGUUCAACCCCUAACCUGGGAACUUCCAUUAUGCUGUGGGUAUGGCCCUAAAAAGAAAAAAGAAAAAAGAAAAAAAAAGUCAUUUAUUUUCAAGAGACUAGACCAGACUGUUUCUUCACAUGUUGCCAGCGGAGUUUCAAGAGGGGAGCCCUAGUGCAAAAACACUAAACAAGCUUCUACUUGGAUUACAUGUGCUGAUGUCCUAGUAGUCAAAGCAAGUUACACGGCCAAGUCCAAUCUCAACAUGGGAGGGCACUAUUACAGGGACCCUGGGAGAUGUGAUUUUUUGGGAUUCCUUAGAGAAACAAACUCACAGUUUCCAUUACAGAAACAAUGGGUAAUGAAAAUGCAUACAGAUGCCAGACUACUACAGCACUCUUGUUCUAAACUUUUAAAGAUUUUUUUUCCUUAGAAAUCCCUAAGAAUGACUGGAAAGUUUUCAGAAAUUUUAGAGAUGUGGAAGGGGUCUAAGUGAAGAUUCCAUGCUCUUAUCUCUAGUUUUAGAAUGAUGAUUUAGGAGAGACUGCAUGACCCUAGAUAUGAGAUUAUUAGGAUCAUCAUCCUAAUCACCAGAGUGGAAAGAUCACGGAGGGGAGAAAAAAUCAUUGAGAAAUAUUUAUUAGUAAGAAUAGUAGUAAAAUUUACUGAGCACCAACUUUGUGACUUUACAAUCAUAUUCCAUCCAUGUAAUACUCACUUUACACAGAUAUACUUAACUCUAUUUUACAUGAUGAGGAAAGAGCCUAAAUGGUUAACAUUCUGAAGUAUUAAGGCAAGUUUGUAGGAGAACUAGGAUUAGAUCUUCCAUUUGUUUGAAGCCAAAGUCAUUUUCUCAAUCUUGCUGAAGAAUCGAAAGCUAGAAACUGGCUGUGUGGUAAAGAGGUCAAAGUAGCAGAUAAACCAGGAGAGAAAAACUACCUGCUUGUCUCUUGUAUUUAGUACCAAUAGGGUCAAACAUUAAGGGAAGAGUGGUGUCCUGGCUGGUGGAUAGGGGUUGAGUGAGGAAGGAGAAAUAGGAAGAAAAGAGAGAAGGGCUGAACAUAGUGGCUUGGCAUUUUUGGAACAGACACAGACACUGAUGGUUCCUGACCACUGCUCUCCAGUAGCAGCAAUCUUUGAGCAAUGAAGAUUUAUCCUGGGGAGAGAGAGCAAGUCAAGAAAGUUAUUGGUAUGAUGCAGAGAAGAUGGAUGAUGAAAUGCAAUUUAAAUUCUGCAUUCGUUGGUAAUUUUUUUUUAACACCAAUUCCCUCCUCCUCUUAUUUCUCCCUUUCAACCGGCUCUUUGUGGGUGGGUUACUCUUCUGAAAUGCCUACUUCCUUCCUCUUUUGUGUUUCUGUCUUGGUCCCUGGGGAGAAUGGAAAUUAGCUAAGUGUGAUGGGUGUUCAGGAGGCAGGCUUUGGUCCUUGGCCAAGAGAGAACUAAUUUCCCCAAGAGUAGCCAAAAGUAUCAGCUUCACAAACGCCCUUCUUAGAGCUGAAAGGAUUUCUUUGUUUCUUCAAUAUUCCAAAUCAGGGCAGUUGCAAUCUGUUUUAAGAAAUCCAUGAUCCACCCAAACAAAUCUCUCAAAUCGAUUCAAAUAUCAAUUAACAUGUACUGAGUUGUAGGGAGGGGAGUCAAAUUGGAGAUACAUAAAUUAGGAUUUAAAAAAUCCUUUACUCACGAUGAAUGCAUAGCUUUAUGUGAGGUACUGAAUCUUGUAUCAGAAAGUUCUAUCAUGUAAAUGAUAAUCAUUACGUAAAGCAGACUAAAAUAAAUGCUAAGUAGAGGUAUGUACCUGAUGCUAUGGGGAGAUAAAGAAAGGAAAAUUUCUUGAAAAGGGAGACCAUAUAGCUGGUUUGGAAAGAUGGAGAGAGGCUAAGAAAAGUACUCAAGGUAGAGAGCACAGCUUGAACAAAAACAUAAGCCUAAGAAAUGUCUGGUAGGGUUGGAAAUGGCUAGACUGUAGGGGUUAAGAAUUACAGAAUUUUUCGGCCAGUGUAAAAAAUCUCAGGGUUUUCUGAAAUGAGUCCAUUUUUUUCCCUCCAAUAAAUCAUCCUCUGAAGCAAUGCCAUUCAUUCAAAAGUAAAACAUCACUAAACUUAGAUUAUUUUUAUCUUGAUUAGUUAUAGUAAAGCAGUGAUCACUUCAUGCUUUACUACUCAUCUACUCCUCAGGAAUUUAGUAAAGAGAUGACAAAGAGUAAUGCAUCAACCCUCACUCAGCAAUUAUUUGUUGUCUCCAUGUACCCUCCCUGGCACAUAGUACAUACUUAAUAAAUCUUUGUUGCCUGGAUGAAAGAAGACAUAUGAUCCAUGAUGAUACCCUACUCUAUACCAUUUUCUAUUAUUCAGAGACCUAAUGGAACUCUUUUUUUUUUAAAUUAAUUUAUUUAUUUAUUGUCUUUUUGCCUUUUCUAGGGCCGCUUCCCGCGGCAUAUGGAGGUUCCCAGGCUAGGGGUCGAAUGGGAGCUGUAGUCUCCAGCCUACACCAGAGCCACAGCAAUGCGGGAUCCGAGCCGCGUCUGCAACCUACACCACAGCUCACAGCAACCCAGAUCCUGAGCAAGGCCAGGGGUCAAACCCGCAACCUCAUGGUUUCUAGUAGGAUUUGUUAACCACUGCACCAUGACAGGAACUCCCAAAUGGAACUCUUAAGUUACUCAGUGUCACUGGAUGUAUCUGUCUGGAUACGCUGGGUUAUGGUGUGGUAACAAAGAGCUCCAAAAAUCUAAGUGGCUUAACAUAAUGCAGAUUUAUUUCUUAGUCAAUCUACAUGACCAGUGAAGGUCAGCAGGAGGGUCUCCUUAUAAUGACUCAAGGACUGAAGGAGGCUCCAUCUUGACUCAUGCUUCCAGAGUCAUCAAGACAUAGAAACCAGGAUGUGGAAAAUUCUCUACUAGCUCUUAAAGCUCCCAUUCAGAUGUGAUGCAGGUUACUUUGCUUCACUUUUCAUUGUCCAAAGAAAAUCAUAUGGGUAUGCUUCAGGGAAGGCCUAACUUCAGGGAAGAGGAAGAGAAUCACAAUAUUUGUGAAGAGUUCUAAUGACCCCUAUGCUGGGUCACUCAUAUGGUUAGUCCCUGUAAUCAAGCUUUCACUGUAGAAAGAAACUUAAAUGCAGUUUUGUGAAUAAAUAUUGUGAAAAUACUGUUGCUUUUGUGUGCAUAAGAAGAUAACCGCUUUACCAGAUUUUGUGCAUAAAUAAAAUUAUUCACAAAUUUUCUUAACAGAAUUCUUCUGCUAGUUGAGCAAAUCAUAGUAUUUUGCCUUAAAUCAUUUUAAAUUUCAGUAUUGUUUCCAUGUCAAUGGCAGCCCACUUGGUACUUCUUGCCUCUUAUGAGAUGGUAGCAUUUACUCUAAAAACCUUGUUCAGUCAUUGAACAUCUUGCAGAAAUUUAGCUAGUGUAGAUAUAUGCCUAGCGCUUGUACUAACAUUUUCUAUCUUCUAUUCUGACACUUAUUAGAUGAUUGCUUUAAAGCUAUUUUUGAAGAGAGGGCUUGAAAGAGGAGAAUGGAUCAAUCACUGUUUAGCCUGCUAGACCCUCUUUGAUGUACGGUAACCAAAAGUCAUUCUCAUCACAUCACAGAAGGUUUAGGUGAGGCAAGCUUGUGAUCUCAGCUGAAUUCUUAAUACACGAUAGGCUGUCUAGUGUCCCCACACAGGGGAUGUAAUUCAGUUCAUAAUAAAAGCUCAGUGCCCUUAUUGCUGUUACUAUACACAGCCGACUUACUAUAUACCAUCUAUUGUAUUUUUUUGGAUGAAAGAAAAAGUAUUAGAUUAUUUCCUGACGGCCUUUCAAAGUCUACUUAACCAAUUCACUGCUGCUAAUUAGCAUCUGGGUGCCCUCAUAGAGCAACACUCUUGGCAAUUCCUAGUCUUCCUCACAAAUCAGACCUCCAUAAGACUACUGUCCCCUUGUGGUGAUGAACAGAUUAUGCCUAGUCCAUGGUAAACCUGAGGCUGUUUUCAAAAGGCUUGGAACAUGCCCGCCAUCUCAUUGUAUUUUCCAUCAACUGGAAUUACAGAAUAAGGUAAAAUAAGGUCUAAAGAUAGCUUUGUAUAUUGACCCUUGCAGGAAGAAAUGCUCAAUGGCUGAGAGAGUUCAUAGAUAACCUAGUUUCUUAUCCUCUUGGCCUCUUGCAACAAUAAUGUAGUUGCCACCUCAGCAGACAUAUUAUAUAAUCAAUACUUAGAUGGCCAUUAUUGCUGUUGGGCAUAAAAAAAUGCUUUUAAAAGGCAAAGGGAUCUUCUGGAGACACUCAUGCUGUCAACCAGAGCAGUCUUUAGGGAGGUUUCCCUCCAAAAGCAGCCAGCCAGAGGAAAUGUUGACAAUGUCAAAUGUCAGGUAGAGUUUCUAGGGUGAGGCAACGUACCAGGGGUCUCUUCCCUCCCUCAGCAGAUUCUGAGACAUAGGACGACUCUUGCUGGUGAAAAUCAAAGAAGCCAUUUAGGGGGUUGAAAUAUUUCCUAUACUUUUUUGUUUCAGAAUUUGUCCUCAACCUCCUAAUGUUAUGAAGAGCAGGGAUUGAGACUUUCUGUCAUUGUAACCAUAGUAAUGAAUACUAACUGUACACAAUAGUAAUGAAUACUAACUGUACACAAGGAAGUUGAAAACACCGAAUCCAAAAUAAACAAACUUCUGGCAUUGAUUGUGAAGGAAUAUUUUAAUUAUAAAUAUGAGUACAAUAAUUUGAUAUUGCUCAGCUAAUCUCACUCGAGGUCUAUAAACUACAUGCCACAUGGGAUGGAGUGAGAAAAACAUUUCACUAAAAGAUUUUACGGUUUGAGUCUCAAUAAGACAUUUUCUGAAUUUGACUUUUAUAGAACUGAUUUUUUUCCAAAGUUAAUAUUUAUUUUCUAGAGAUUGAGUGAUUUUGUACAAAGCCAGAAUUAGGUCAAGCUUUUCAUGAUCAAUAGAGAUCUAUAUUAAAAACUUUAGAAAUAUAUAUUGCUAGAAUGUAUCUCAUUUAUUUUGUGAAAACCACAACCACGAGGGGAUAUGGAAUGAGAAUAGGCAUGUUAAAAUGCUAACAAAGAACCUUCCACUCAACCCCCCCCCCCCACAAAAAAAAUAUUAAAGCAAGCAUGUGGGAUUUGCAAUCAUGCUGCAGCGGGGGUGUCAGAGAUCAAAAAUAAAUGGUGGGCCAUAACAUGCAGAGCUUUUAAAAAAUAAUGUCACAUUCUUUCAUUCUCAGCAUAAGAAAUGGGCAACUUGUUCAGGGCAAAUAAUUGUUUGAACUGAGGAUUUUAUUAUUAAUCUCUGAAGACUGCUGAAUUUAGGGUCACAGUAAGGGUUGAUUAGGUACAAGGUGCAUAAAGCUCUCCUCUGUCGAUGCUAUUGAAAGAAGCAAGUAAUUUAGAUUCAGAAUUGGUCUUGGAUUGAAGCUCACUCCAUUACCGACCAUUUUCAAUUUCAGCUAUACAAUAAACAUCAAGCUCGGCAAGGAAAUUAGUACAUUUGGUAAUGUAUUGGAAGAGAUGGGUGGGUCUUUGACAAGAUGACACUUAUCACCAAAGCUUCAGUUAAUGAAACCCUUGAG
This 6725-nucleotide long non-coding RNA is filed under the name Sus scrofa (pig). RNAcentral describes it as "lncRNA (ENSSSCG00000057870.1)". Lineage: Eukaryota; Metazoa; Chordata; Mammalia; Artiodactyla; Suidae. The record is from RNAcentral.